GACGAACGCUGGCGGCGUGCUUAACACAUGCCAGUCGAACGGAAAGGCCCCUUUGGGGGUACUCGAGUGGCGCACGGGUGAGUAACACGUGAGUAACCUGCCCUUGACUUCGGGAUAACUUCAGGAAACUGGGGCUAAUACCGGAUAGGAAUCCUUGCUGCAUGGUGGGGGUUGGAAAGCUUCGGCGGUUUUGGAUGGACUCGCGGCUUAUCAGCUUGUUGGUGGGGUAGUGGCUUACCAAGGCUUUGACGGGUAGCCGGCCUGAGAGGGCGACCGGCCACAUUGGGACUGAGAUACGGCCCAGACUCCUACGGGAAGCAGCAGUGGGGAAUAUUGCACAAUGGGCGGAAGCCUGAUGCAGCAACGCCGCGUGCGGGAUGACGGCCUUCGGGUUGUAAACCGCUUUCAGCAGGGGCGAAGCUUGUGGUGACGGUACCUGCAGAAGAAGCACCGGCUAACUACGUG
Molecule: ribosomal RNA, 465 nt
Filed under: uncultured bacterium
Lineage: Bacteria
Description: partial 16S ribosomal RNA
Rfam family: Bacterial small subunit ribosomal RNA
Source: RNAcentral